Molecule: long non-coding RNA, 236 nt
Filed under: Nicotiana benthamiana
Lineage: Eukaryota; Viridiplantae; Streptophyta; Magnoliopsida; Solanales; Solanaceae
Description: long non-coding RNA (NBEN_LNC007838)
Source: RNAcentral
UCGGCCUUAACUGUUGCGCGAGGCCAACCUUUAUACGUAGGAUUAAAUACUCUUCUAAUAUAAUGAAUCCAUGCAGGAUUAGAAGCAAAAGAACAAGGCAAACACAUAACAGUAAUUAUUUUCGCUAAUUCUUCACGAUCCUUAUUUGGAUGGUAAUAUAAUAUACCUUUGGUGACUGUGUUUAUUCCUGGUUGAACUAGAUUUGAACCAGUACUUGGGUUAACUGUAGAAUCAGC